RNAcentral lists this ribosomal RNA (1405 nucleotides) under Salmonella enterica subsp. enterica serovar Virchow. Its description in RNAcentral is "partial 23S ribosomal RNA". It matches the Rfam family "Bacterial large subunit ribosomal RNA", at positions 1414 to 2802 of the family's 2925-position model. Lineage: Bacteria; Pseudomonadati; Pseudomonadota; Gammaproteobacteria; Enterobacterales; Enterobacteriaceae. The record is from RNAcentral.
GUCGAUGGGAAACGGGUUAAUAUUCCCGUACUUGGUGUUACUGCGAAGGGGGGACGGAGAAGGCUAUGUUGGCCGGGCGACGGUUGUCCCGGUUUAAGCGUGUAGGUGUGUGUUCCAGGUAAAUCCGGUUCACUUUAACACUGAGGCGUGACGACGAGGCACUACGGUGCUGAAGCAACAAAUGCCCUGCUUCCAGGAAAAGCCUCUAAGCAUCAGGUAACAUCAAAUCGUACCCCAAACCGACACAGGUGGUCAGGUAGAGAAUACCAAGGCGCUUGAGAGAACUCGGGUGAAGGAACUAGGCAAAAUGGUGCCGUAACUUCGGGAGAAGGCACGCUGACACGUAGGUGAAGUGAUUUACUCAUGGAGCUGAAGUCAGUCGAAGAUACCAGCUGGCUGCAACUGUUUAUUAAAAACACAGCACUGUGCAAACACGAAAGUGGACGUAUACGGUGUGACGCCUGCCCGGUGCCGGAAGGUUAAUUGAUGGGGUCAGCGCAAGCGAAGCUCCUGAUCGAAGCCCCGGUAAACGGCGGCCGUAACUAUAACGGUCCUAAGGUAGCGAAAUUCCUUGUCGGGUAAGUUCCGACCUGCACGAAUGGCGUAAUGAUGGCCAGGCUGUCUCCACCCGAGACUCAGUGAAAUUGAACUCGCUGUGAAGAUGCAGUGUACCCGCGGCAAGACGGAAAGACCCCGUGAACCUUUACUAUAGCUUGACACUGAACAUUGAGCCUUGAUGUGUAGGAUAGGUGGGAGGCUUUGAAGUGUGGACGCCAGUCUGCAUGGAGCCGACCUUGAAAUACCACCCUUUAAUGUUUGAUGUUCUAACGUGGACCCGUAAUCCGGGUUGCGGACAGUGUCUGGUGGGUAGUUUGACUGGGGCGGUCUCCUCCUAAAGAGUAACGGAGGAGCACGAAGGUUGGCUAAUCCUGGUCGGACAUCAGGAGGUUAGUGCAAUGGCAUAAGCCAGCUUGACUGCGAGCGUGACGGCGCGAGCAGGUGCGAAAGCAGGUCAUAGUGAUCCGGUGGUUCUGAAUGGAAGGGCCAUCGCUCAACGGAUAAAAGGUACUCCGGGGAUAACAGGCUGAUACCGCCCAAGAGUUCAUAUCGACGGCGGUGUUUGGCACCUCGAUGUCGGCUCAUCACAUCCUGGGGCUGAAGUAGGUCCCAAGGGUAUGGCUGUUCGCCAUUUAAAGUGGUACGCGAGCUGGGUUUAGAACGUCGUGAGACAGUUCGGUCCCUAUCUGCCGUGGGCGCUGGAGAACUGAGGGGGGCUGCUCCUAGUACGAGAGGACCGGAGUGGACGCAUCACUGGUGUUCGGGUUGUCAUGCCAAUGGCACUGCCCGGUAGCUAAAUGCGGAAGAGAUAAGUGCUGAAAGCAUCUAAGCACGAAACUUGCCCCGA